AACCUGGUUGAUCCUGCCAGUAGUCAUAUGCUUGUCUCAAAGAUUAAGCCAUGCAUGUCUCAGUAUAAGCUUCUAUACGGCGAAACUGCGAAUGGCUCAUUAAAACAGUUAUAGUUUAUUUGAUGGUCAACAAUUACAUGGAUAACCGUGGUAAUUCUAGAGCUAAUACAUGCGCCCAAACCCCAACUUCCGUGGACAGGG
RNAcentral lists this ribosomal RNA (201 nucleotides) under uncultured marine eukaryote. RNAcentral's name for it is "partial 18S ribosomal RNA". It matches the Rfam family "Eukaryotic small subunit ribosomal RNA", at positions 1 to 201 of the family's 1831-position model. The record is from RNAcentral.